GUUUCCAGUAACGACGUCAUUGCUGUGGAGUAAAUGGAGAUAUGGGUAGGUGGGGCGAGCUGCCUCCUACCUCCUGCGGAUGCCGGUCUGGGUGAACUGAGAGUGGCUCGGCGGCGCAACCACCAUCUCCUUAGGUUACGGUGUCUCUGCUCCAGCGCUCAUGGAGUUCUUGAUGCAGCCGUGCAACAGUAGAACCCUCAUAGAGGAAGUGGAUGACAGCGACGUACCCAACUACCCCUGGAGCCUUUGCAUUAUCCUGUUUUGUCAGCGGCGGCUGGCGAGCUGCCGGCGACGAGUGCUUCCAGUGUGGAGGCGCGGAUCUCUGCGGCGGCGGCUGUAGCACCAGGAGGGAGUGCAGAUAGGUCGCAACUCGCAAGUAUCUGAACACUCAAUAGAGCAAAUUGAUCCACAGACGCCCGGCUGGACACGGAGGGUCAGGGUUGGUACUGCAGCACCAGGCCGUGCCCCCUGCCCGGGUAGGAUGGCAACAUUGGAGAAAUCAGUGUGCGUGUUUGCCGAGUCCCCCAGUGACAAUGUGAUUAUGCCAAAGUUAGGCAUCAACUUCGAUACGCUUGGAGAAGCCUACGAUUUUUACAAUCUGUAUUCAUGGGAGAAAGGAUUCGGCAUUAGAUCCAGUGCUUUCCCGUAGCGGCGAUAGUGCACACAGUAAAUGCGGAAGUUGGGCGCUGAGAGCAGCUGUCUCCUACCUCGCGAAGUUAGAUCUAUCAUUCUUGAAGAUGGCGAAGCCGUAGAGGAACCUCCUGCGGGGGACUGGGUGCUUCGGCGAGCAUGGAGUUCUUGAUGCAGCCAAUAAAUAGCAGAAUACUGCUAGAGGAGCUAAACAACAUCGCCAUGGAGCCUGUUCACUACCCUGUGAGGACACCCCCGGUGGUUGAGCUGCUGGCCACGACGACCUCAAGUGCAGACGGCCAAAUCUGUGCUGACUGCUGAGGGUGCUGCUCCAGAGGCAGGCAGUGCAGACAAGGCUCAAGGUUCAGAGCACUCCAUGGAGCAGGUGGAUCCGAAAACUCCAGGGUGGAAGCAAAGAGUGCGGGUUGGUGCUGCCACGCUAGGCAGAGCUCCAUGCCCUGAUAGGAUUACAGCACUGGGGAAAUCAAUCCGGCAAUUUGCAGAAGAACCAGGUGAUUGUGCCGAAGAUAGGAACACGUUUUGACACACUUGGUGAGGCCUAUGAUUUUUACAAUUUAUAUUCGUGGGAGAAAGGAUUCGGCAUUAGAUACGAAAAGAGCAGGGUAAACGUAAACUGGACAAAUGCAUGAAAGAGAUAGUCUAUGGUUGCGCGGGGAAGCAAAUAGUUGAAAAUACUCGGUCUUGCCGCUGUUAAUGCCCUACUCUCAUAAGAUUGUUGCGGUUAAAGGACAACGGGAGCAUCGAUAUGAGCACAUACAUUCAUUGUCUCCCACGUACGGACAGACAAUACACUGGCCAUCACACAAGCAUAUCGACGUGUACAUCAGAGGUCUCGUGAAGCAGCUGUGGCAAAACAAUGACAACUUAGCGAGAAUGGGGAUGUUGUGAACCAGGUUCACCCAGAAGGCGCUGAGAUGGGACAGGGAGGCAGAAUGCCUACUGUUAUGAGGAAAUGAGGACCGAUGAUAACACUUCAGCCAAUCAGUCGGGUGAUAUGCUGACAGGCUUAUUGCCUCCAGCUAAGAGGAAGGAUGUGGGAAAGCCUACGACAAGCAGAGAGAAAGCACUGUAUGAUGGACUGAGUAAGAUGACAAGAUUAUGCAUGAUUUUCAGUGACAAGCACACAAACGGAUACCCUGCCCUGAUCGUGGGGAUGUACAAAAACAGCCUUGGAAGCCAGGAAGAUGCAAGAAUUGUGGCGUUGAAGGCCAUCGUCGAUACAACUACCACAAAGUGGCUGAGCUCAGGCUGAAGAGCUGAUCUGAUCUUGUUUUGUUUAGCUGCAGCACUCUGCUUGCCAAAUUUUAAGCUGCCUUGUACCUGAGUACUAAGUUGUGUUCUUUCUGAAUAAUUAGAACUUGUCUGUACAAAGUCUGCAUUGUAAAAUGGCUGUGCUUUGUGUUCCUUACUGAUAUUAUAUUAUUAUUUGAUCUUCCUGUGUUGCUG
RNAcentral lists this ribosomal RNA (2097 nucleotides) under Triticum aestivum (bread wheat). RNAcentral's name for it is "partial small subunit ribosomal RNA". Lineage: Eukaryota; Viridiplantae; Streptophyta; Magnoliopsida; Poales; Poaceae. The record is from RNAcentral.